UAAGUUAUUAAGGGCGCACGGUGGAUGCCUUGGCACUAGAAGCCGAUGAAGGACGUUACUAACGACGAUAUGCUUUGGGGAGCUGUAAGUAAGCUUUGAUCCAGAGAUUUCCGAAUGGGGAAACCCAGCAUGAGUUAUGUCAUGUUAUCGAUAUGUGAAUACAUAGCAUAUCAGAAGGCACACCCGGAGAACUGAUACAUCUUAGUACCCGGAGGAAGAGAAAGAAAAUUCGAUUCCCUUAGUAGCGGCGAGCGAAACGGGAAGAGCCCAAACCAACAAGCUUGCUUGUUGGGGUUGUAGGACACUCUAUACGGAGUUACAAAGGACGACAUUAGACGAAUCAUCUGGAAAGAUGAAUCAAAGAAGGUAAUAAUCCUGUAGUCGAAAAUGUUGUCUCUCUUGAGUGGAUCCUGAGUACGACGGAGCACGUGAAAUUCCGUCGGAAUCUGGGAGGACCAUCUCCUAAGGCUAAAUACUCUCUAGUGACCGAUAGUGAACCAGUACCGUGAGGGAAAGGUGAAAAGCACCCCGGAAGGGGAGUGAAAUAGAACCUGAAACCGUGUGCUACAAGUAGUCAGAGCCCAUUAAUGGGUGAUGGCGUGCCUUUUGUAGAAUGAACCGGCGAGUUACGAUUUGAUGCAAGGUUAAGCAGUAAAUGUGGAGCCGUAGCGAAAGCGAGUCUGAAUAGGGCGUUUAGUAUUUGGUCGUAGACCCGAAACCAGGUGAUCUACCCUUGGCCAGGUUGAAGUUCAGGUAACACUGAAUGGAGGACCGAACCGACUUACGUUGAAAAGUGAGCGGAUGAACUGAGGGUAGCGGAGAAAUUCCAAUCGAACCUGGAGAUAGCUGGUUCUCUCCGAAAUAGCUUUAGGGCUAGCCUCAAGUGAUGAUUAUUGGAGGUAGAGCACUGUUUGGACGAGGGGCCCCUCUCGGGUUACCGAAUUCAGACAAACUCCGAAUGCCAAUUAAUUUAACUUGGGAGUCAGAACAUGGGUGAUAAGGUCCGUGUUCGAAAGGGAAACAGCCCAGACCACCAGCUAAGGUCCCAAAAUAUAUGUUAAGUGGAAAAGGAUGUGGCGUUGCCCAGACAACUAGGAUGUUGGCUUAGAAGCAGCCAUCAUUUAAAGAGUGCGUAAUAGCUCACUAGUCGAGUGACACUGCGCCGAAAAUGUACCGGGGCUAAACAUAUUACCGAAGCUGUGGAUUGUCCUUUGGACAAUGGUAGGAGAGCGUUCUAAGGGCGUUGAAGCAUGAUCGUAAGGACAUGUGGAGCGCUUAGAAGUGAGAAUGCCGGUGUGAGUAGCGAAAGACGGGUGAGAAUCCCGUCCACCGAUUGACUAAGGUUUCCAGAGGAAGGCUCGUCCGCUCUGGGUUAGUCGGGUCCAAAGCUGAGGCCGACAGGCGUAGGCGAUGGAUAACAGGUUGAUAUUCCUGUACCACCUAUAAUCGUUUUAAUCGAUGGGGGGACGCAGUAGGAUAGGCGAAGCGUGCGAUUGGAUUGCACGUCUAAGCAGUAAGGCUGAGUAUUAGGCAAAUCCGGUACUCGUUAAGGCUGAGCUGUGAUGGGGAGAAGACAUUGAGUCUUCGAGUCGUUGAUUUCACACUGCCGAGAAAAGCCUCUAGAUAGAAAAUAGGUGCCCGUACCGCAAACCGACACAGGUAGUCAAGAUGAGAAUUCUAAGGUGAGCGAGCGAACUCUCGUUAAGGAACUCGGCAAAAUGACCCCGUAACUUCGGGAGAAGGGGUGCUCUUUAGGGUUAACGCCCAGAAGAGCCGCAGUGAAUAGGCCCAAGCGACUGUUUAUCAAAAACACAGGUCUCUGCUAAACCGUAAGGUGAUGUAUAGGGGCUGACGCCUGCCCGGUGCUGGAAGGUUAAGAGGAGUGGUUAGCUUCUGCGAAGCUACGAAUCGAAGCCCCAGUAAACGGCGGCCGUAACUAUAACGGUCCUAAGGUAGCGAAAUUCCUUGUCGGGUAAGUUCCGACCCGCACGAAAGGCGUAACGAUUUGGGCACUGUCUCAACGAGAGACUCGGUGAAAUCAUAGUACCUGUGAAGAUGCAGGUUACCCGCGACAGGACGGAAAGACCCCGUGGAGCUUUACUGUAGCCUGAUAUUGAAAUUCGGCACAGCUUGUACAGGAUAGGUAGGAGCCUUUGAAACGUGAGCGCUAGCUUACGUGGAGGCGCUGGUGGGAUACCACCCUAGCUGUGUUGGCUUUCUAACCCGCACCACUUAUCGUGGUGGGAGACAGUGUCAGGCGGGCAGUUUGACUGGGGCGGUCGCCUCCUAAAAGGUAACGGAGGCGCUCAAAGGUUCCCUCAGAAUGGUUGGAAAUCAUUCAUAGAGUGUAAAGGCAUAAGGGAGCUUGACUGCGAGACCUACAAGUCGAGCAGGGUCGAAAGACGGACUUAGUGAUCCGGUGGUUCCGCAUGGAAGGGCCAUCGCUCAACGGAUAAAAGCUACCCCGGGGAUAACAGGCUUAUCUCCCCCAAGAGUUCACAUCGACGGGGAGGUUUGGCACCUCGAUGUCGGCUCAUCGCAUCCUGGGGCUGUAGUCGGUCCCAAGGGUUGGGCUGUUCGCCAAUUAAAGCGGUACGCGAGCUGGGUUCAGAACGUCGUGAGACAGUUCGGUCCCUAUCCGUCGUGGGCGUAGGAAAUUUGAGAGGAGCUGUCCUUAGUACGAGAGGACCGGGAUGGACAUACCUCUGGUGUACCAGUUGUCGUGCCAACGGCAUAGCUGGGUAGCUAUGUGUGGACGGGAUAAGUGCUGAAAGCAUCUAAGCAUGAAGCCCCCCUCAAGAUGAGAUUUCCCAACUUCGGUUAUAAGAUCCCUCAAAGAUGAUGAGGUUAAUAGGUUCGAGGUGGAAGCAUGGUGACAUGUGGAGCUGACGAAUACUAAUCGAUCGAAGACUUAAUCA
This 2918-nucleotide ribosomal RNA is filed under the name Staphylococcus aureus subsp. aureus CIG1096. RNAcentral describes it as "bacterial LSU rRNA". It matches the Rfam family "Bacterial large subunit ribosomal RNA". The record is from RNAcentral. Lineage: Bacteria; Bacillati; Bacillota; Bacilli; Caryophanales; Staphylococcaceae.